Molecule: transfer RNA, 73 nt
Filed under: Pseudomonas phage vB_PaeM_M1
Lineage: Duplodnaviria; Heunggongvirae; Uroviricota; Caudoviricetes; Andersonviridae
Description: Pseudomonas phage vB_PsaM_M1 tRNA
Rfam family: tRNA
About the family: Transfer RNA (tRNA) molecules are approximately 80 nucleotides in length. Their secondary structure includes four short double-helical elements and three loops (D, anti-codon, and T loops). Further hydrogen bonds mediate the characteristic L-shaped molecular structure. tRNAs have two regions of fundamental functional importance: the anti-codon, which is responsible for specific mRNA codon recognition, and the 3' end, to which the tRNAs corresponding amino acid is attached (by aminoacyl-tRNA synthetases). tRNAs cope with the degeneracy of the genetic code in two manners: having more than one tRNA (with a specific anti-codon) for a particular amino acid; and 'wobble' base-pairing, i.e. permitting non-standard base-pairing at the 3rd anti-codon position.
Source: Rfam by way of RNAcentral
GCUGAGAUACGCUAGUGGUCAAGUGGAUUGCCUUGUAAGCAAUAAGCCGUCAGUUCGAUUCUGACUCUCAGCA